UACAGGGGGUGCUAGCGUUGUUCGGAAUUACUGGGCGUAAAGGGCGCGUAGGCGGCCAUGUAAGUCAGAUGUGAAAUCCCGGGGCUUAACUCCGGACGUGCAUUUGAAACUGCAAGGCUCGAGUGCAGUAGAGGUUGGUGGAAUUCCCAGUGUAGAGGUGAAAUUCGUAGAUAUUGGGAGGAACACCGGUGGCGAAGGCGGCCAACUGGGCUGCAACUGACGCUGAGGCGCGAAAGCGUGGGGAUCAAACAGG
This 253-nucleotide ribosomal RNA is filed under the name uncultured bacterium. RNAcentral's name for it is "partial 16S ribosomal RNA". It matches the Rfam family "Bacterial small subunit ribosomal RNA", at positions 524 to 776 of the family's 1533-position model. The record is from RNAcentral.